UACGAAGGGUGCAAGCGUUGCUCGGAAUUAUUGGGCGUAAAGGGUUGGUAGGUGGUCUUGUUUGUCUAAGGUGAAAUCCCAUGGCUUAACUGUGGAAGUGCCUUAGAAACGGCAAGACUAGAGUCCUAGAGGGGUUUGUGGAAUUCCCGGUGUAGCGGUGAAAUGCGUAGAGAUCGGGAGGAACACCAGCGGCGAAGGCGGCAAACUGGAUAGGUACUGACACUCAACAACGAAAGCGUGGGGAUCAAACAGG
This 253-nucleotide ribosomal RNA is filed under the name uncultured bacterium. Its description in RNAcentral is "partial 16S ribosomal RNA". It matches the Rfam family "Bacterial small subunit ribosomal RNA", at positions 524 to 776 of the family's 1533-position model. The record is from RNAcentral.